This 1489-nucleotide ribosomal RNA is filed under the name Lactiplantibacillus pentosus. Its description in RNAcentral is "bacterial SSU rRNA". It matches the Rfam family "Bacterial small subunit ribosomal RNA". The record is from RNAcentral. Lineage: Bacteria; Bacillati; Bacillota; Bacilli; Lactobacillales; Lactobacillaceae.
GACGAACGCUGGCGGCGUGCCUAAUACAUGCAAGUCGAACGAACUCUGGUAUUGAUUGGUGCUUGCAUCAUGAUUUACAUUUGAGUGAGUGGCGAACUGGUGAGUAACACGUGGGAAACCUGCCCAGAAGCGGGGGAUAACACCUGGAAACAGAUGCUAAUACCGCAUAACAACUUGGACCGCAUGGUCCGAGUUUGAAAGAUGGCUUCGGCUAUCACUUUUGGAUGGUCCCGCGGCGUAUUAGCUAGAUGGUGGGGUAACGGCUCACCAUGGCAAUGAUACGUAGCCGACCUGAGAGGGUAAUCGGCCACAUUGGGACUGAGACACGGCCCAAACUCCUACGGGAGGCAGCAGUAGGGAAUCUUCCACAAUGGACGAAAGUCUGAUGGAGCAACGCCGCGUGAGUGAAGAAGGGUUUCGGCUCGUAAAACUCUGUUGUUAAAGAAGAACAUAUCUGAGAGUAACUGUUCAGGUAUUGACGGUAUUUAACCAGAAAGCCACGGCUAACUACGUGCCAGCAGCCGCGGUAAUACGUAGGUGGCAAGCGUUGUCCGGAUUUAUUGGGCGUAAAGCGAGCGCAGGCGGUUUUUUAAGUCUGAUGUGAAAGCCUUCGGCUCAACCGAAGAAGUGCAUCGGAAACUGGGAAACUUGAGUGCAGAAGAGGACAGUGGAACUCCAUGUGUAGCGGUGAAAUGCGUAGAUAUAUGGAAGAACACCAGUGGCGAAGGCGGCUGUCUGGUCUGUAACUGACGCUGAGGCUCGAAAGUAUGGGUAGCAAACAGGAUUAGAUACCCUGGUAGUCCAUACCGUAAACGAUGAAUGCUAAGUGUUGGAGGGUUUCCGCCCUUCAGUGCUGCAGCCAACGCAUUAAGCAUUCCGCCUGGGGAGUACGGCCGCAAGGCUGAAACUCAAAGGAAUUGACGGGGGCCCGCACAAGCGGUGGAGCAUGUGGUUUAAUUCGAAGCUACGCGAAGAACCUUACCAGGUCUUGACAUACUAUGCAAAUCUAAGAGAUUAGACGUUCCCUUCGGGGACAUGGAUACAGGUGGUGCAUGGUUGUCGUCAGCUCGUGUCGUGAGAUGUUGGGUUAAGUCCCGCAACGAGCGCAACCCUUAUUAUCAGUUGCCAGCAUUAAGUUGGGCACUCUGGUGAGACUGCCGGUGACAAACCGGAGGAAGGUGGGGAUGACGUCAAAUCAUCAUGCCCCUUAUGACCUGGGCUACACACGUGCUACAAUGGAUGGUACAACGAGUUGCGAACUCGCGAGAGUAAGCUAAUCUCUUAAAGCCAUUCUCAGUUCGGAUUGUAGGCUGCAACUCGCCUACAUGAAGUCGGAAUCGCUAGUAAUCGCGGAUCAGCAUGCCGCGGUGAAUACGUUCCCGGGCCUUGUACACACCGCCCGUCACACCAUGAGAGUUUGUAACACCCAAAGUCGGUGGGGUAACCUUUUAGGAACCAGCCGCCUAAGGUGGGACAGAUGAUUAGGGUG